Molecule: long non-coding RNA, 648 nt
Filed under: Cricetulus griseus (Chinese hamster)
Lineage: Eukaryota; Metazoa; Chordata; Mammalia; Rodentia; Cricetidae
Description: lncRNA (ENSCGRG00015039703.1)
Source: RNAcentral
GUGACAUAGCAAGGAGACUCAUAUUUAAGUGAAGGAGAAACAGGAAGGGCCUCUUUUCCCCUCCGCUCCUGCUCCAGCGGCACAAUGUGAUCCACCAGCAAGGAGGAUGCCAAUAAGGCGUCCGAUUACAGUUCAUCACUGAGAGAAGCCACAGCAGGUGCUCAAGGCAGGAACCCGGAGGCAGGAAGCAGAACCCGAAGCAGAGACCUAGGCUCUCAGCUAAGUUUCUUCUACCUUCCAGCACAACCUGUCCACCACCCACAGUGGACUGGGUCCUCCUGCAUCAAUCAAAAUUUAAGAAAAUCCACUCAGACAUGUGUCCAGGCCAAUCUGAGAGAGGCAUUUCCUCUAUUGAGGUUCCCUCCUCCCAGGACAGCGCUCACUGAGUCCCUAUGGGUAAAUCUGGUUCUGCAUGGUUUGUUGCUUACACAUUAGAGUGCUUUACAUACAGAAAGCACGUACAGAGGAUACAGGGUCCUGUGUCUGAACUGGAUCAAGGUUUUCCAUCAACUGUCAUUUUUGAACUGUUUUUAUUAAGCCGGGAUUCCUUCACUUGUAAAAUUGUAGGAUGACAUGAUAGCCCCUUAGGUGACCUUCAAAUUACUCUAAAGUUACCUAAUUACAUGUCAUACAGAAGUAUUCUGCAAU